GAGUGAAGCGGCAAAAGCUCAAAUUUGAAAUCUGGUACCUUCGGUGCCCGAGUUGUAAUUUGGAGAGGGCAACUUUGGGGCCGUUCCUUGUCUAUGUUCCUUGGAACAGGACGUCAUAGAGGGUGAGAAUCCCGUGUGGCGAGGAGUGCGGUUCUUUGUAAAGUGCCUUCGAAGAGUCGAGUUGUUUGGGAAUGCAGCUCUAAGUGGGUGGUAAAUUCCAUCUAAAGCUAAAUAUUGGCGAGAGACCGAUAGCGAACAAGUACAGUGAUGGAAAGAUGAAAAGAACUUUGAAAAGAGAGUGAAAAAGUACGUGAAAUUGUUGAAAGGGAAGGGCAUUUGAUCAGACAUGGUGUUUUGUGCCCUCUGCUCCUUGUGGGUAGGGGAAUCUCGCAUUUCACUGGGCCAGCAUCAGUUUUGGUGGCAGGAUAAAUCCAUAGGAAUGUAGCUUGCCUCGGUAAGUAUUAUAGCCUGUGGGAAUACUGCCAGCUGGGACUGAGGACUGCGACGUAAGUCAAGGAUGCUGGCAUAAUGGUUAUAUGCCGC
Molecule: ribosomal RNA, 543 nt
Filed under: Saccharomyces cerevisiae (brewer's yeast)
Lineage: Eukaryota; Fungi; Ascomycota; Saccharomycetes; Saccharomycetales; Saccharomycetaceae
Description: partial large subunit ribosomal RNA
Rfam family: Eukaryotic large subunit ribosomal RNA
Source: RNAcentral